Molecule: ribosomal RNA, 505 nt
Filed under: uncultured bacterium
Lineage: Bacteria
Description: partial 16S ribosomal RNA
Rfam family: Bacterial small subunit ribosomal RNA
Source: RNAcentral
GACGAACGCUGGCGGCGUGCCUAAUACAUGCAAGUAGAACGCACAGUUUAUACCUUAGCUUGCUACACCAUAGGCUGUGAGUUGCGAACGGGUGAGUAACGCGUAGGUGACCUGCCUGGUAGCGGGGGAAAACUAUUGGUAACGAUAGCUAAUACCGCAUCAUAUUGAUUAUUGCGGGAUGAUUGAUUGAAAGGUGCUGUUGCAUCACUAUCAGAGGGACCUGCGUUGUAUUGGGCAGUAGGAGGGGUAACGGCUCACCUGGGCGACGAUGCAUAGCCGAGCGGUGAGGGUGAUCGCCCCCACUGGGAUUGAGCGGCGGCCCAGAGUCCUACGGGCGGCAGAGGCAGGUAAGGUUGGGAGAUGGAGGAAAUACUGACCGAGCGACGCCGGGUGGGUGAAGAAGGGUCUCGGGGCGGAUAGCUCCGUUGUAAGAGAAGAACGGGUGUGAGAGUGGAAAGUUCACUUUGUGACGGUACCUGACCAAAAAGGGACGGCUAACUACGUG